GGCGUGCUUAACACAUGCAAGUCGAACGAGAAAUCUUUAGCUUGCUAGAGAAAGUAAAGUGGCGCACGGGUGAGUAACGCGUGGGUAAUCUGCCUCCGAAUCGGGGAUAACAUUGCGAAAGCGAUGCUAAUACCGGAUAAAAUCUGGUUGGCUUCGGUGAACCGGAUCAAAGGUGGUCUCUUUAUAAAAGCUACCGUUUGGAGAUGAGCUCGCGUACCAUUAGCUAGUUGGUGAGGUAAAGGCUCACCAAGGCGACGAUGGUUAGCUGGUCUGAGAGGAUGAUCAGCCACACCGGAACUGGAACACGGUCCGGACUCCUACGGGAGGCAGCAGUGAGGAAUUUUGCGCAAUGGGGGAAACCCUGACGCAGCAACGCCGCGUGAGUGAUGAAGGCUUUCGGGUCGUAAAGCUCUGUCAGGUGGGAAGAACCCACCAAGUGUUAAGACCACUUGGUGCUGACGGUACCACCGAAGGAAGCACCGGCUAACUCCGUGCCAGCAGCCGCGGUAAUACGGGGGGUGCGAGCGUUAUUCGGAAUCAUUGGGCGUAAAGGGCGCGCAGGCGGUUUUGUAAGUCAGAUGUGAAAUCCCGGGGCUUAACCCCGGAAGUGCAUAUGAAACUAUGAGACUUGAGUAUGGGAGAGGGAAGCGGAAUUCCUGGUGUAGCGGUGAAAUGCGUAGAUAUCAGGAGGAACACCGGUGGCGAAGGCGGCUUCCUGGACCAAUACUGACGCUGAGGCGCGAAGGCGUGGGGAGCGAACAGGAUUAGAUACCCUGGUAGUCCACGCAGUAAACGUUGAUCACUAGGUGUAGCGGGUAUUGACCCCUGCUGUGCCGGAGUUAAACGCAUUAAGUGAUCCCGCCUGGGGAGUACGAUCGCAAGAUUAAAACUCAAAGGAAUUGACGGGGGCCCGCACA
RNAcentral lists this ribosomal RNA (917 nucleotides) under uncultured organism. RNAcentral describes it as "bacterial SSU rRNA". It matches the Rfam family "Bacterial small subunit ribosomal RNA", at positions 41 to 927 of the family's 1533-position model. The record is from RNAcentral.